GACGAACGCUGGCGGCGUGCUUAACACAUGCAAGUCGAACGGAAAGGCCCUGCUUUUGUGGGGUGCUCGAGUGGCGAACGGGUGAGUAACACGUGAGUAACCUGCCCUUGACUUUGGGAUAACUUCAGGAAACUGGGGCUAAUACCGGAUAGGUGCUCCUGCUUCAUGGUGGGGGUUGGAAAGUUUCGGCGGUUGGGGAUGGACUGGCGGGUUAUCAGCUUGUUGGUGGGGUAGUGGCUUACCAAGGAGCCGAUCAGUAGCUGGUCUGAAAGGAUGACCAGCCACAUUGGGACUGAGACACGGCCCAACCUCCUACGGGAGGCAGCGGUGGGGAAUAUUGAACAAUGGGGGCAACCCUGAUCCAGCCAUGCCGCGUGAGUGAUGAAGGCCCUAGGGUUGUAAAGCUCUUUUGUGCGGGAAGAUAAUGACGGUACCGCAAGAAUAAGCCCCGGCUAACUUCGUG
Molecule: ribosomal RNA, 463 nt
Filed under: uncultured bacterium
Lineage: Bacteria
Description: partial 16S ribosomal RNA
Rfam family: Bacterial small subunit ribosomal RNA
Source: RNAcentral